Long non-coding RNA from Sander lucioperca (pikeperch), 654 nucleotides. RefSeq lists it as uncharacterized. The record is from RefSeq and is a predicted model, not a curated record. The transcript is spliced from 3 exons. Lineage: Eukaryota; Metazoa; Chordata; Actinopteri; Perciformes; Percidae.
UGCAUUAUUGCAAAGCCUUUAAGAUGUAAUUGGGGGGGGGGGUUUCUUAAAUGAACGUUUGCAACCAGUCACAGGACCUGACAGGUGUUACAUCAUCAGUUAGCACCACUCGGAAGCCAACGCUGGGAAUGACGUCACACCCGAGUUGAACUCGUUCCAUUUACAAGUCAGAUUUUUCAUUGUGGGGUUAGCUCUAGCCAGGUUAGCCAUUGUUAGCAAUACCAGUAGAUAACAACGCAUUACGCUGUUUUUUGUGCAUACAAACAGCGAACAGCGUAACAACACGUCCACAGAUGGAAGACGAACAGGACUGUGUGCGACUGAUUUAGUGAGAAACAAAUAAGACAGAAGUGCUGAUAACUGUAUGUUACUACAGCUUUCACUACUGGGAUGCACAGGGCAGCCAUGUUGGACUUUGAGCUCGGGGUAGUCGGUGGUUGCCCGAGUAUCGAGGUCAGGGGGCGUUUCCGACUUUGACCUCGAAAAAGCCGACUUCCGAGUACAAAUGGAACGCACUAUCAUUAACAAAAAACACAUUUUAGCUUAUGGAGAAAUACUAACACUACCAACAAUCCUAAGCGCAGAGUCCAAAAUAAGCACCAUCAACAAGCCAAAUGCUAGUAAAAUAUGCAAGUGGCUGGUAUAUUUGCUUCA